This 41-nucleotide transfer RNA is filed under the name Eplingiella fruticosa. RNAcentral's name for it is "partial tRNA-Gly". The record is from RNAcentral. RNAcentral also lists the same sequence under 2 other names. Lineage: Eukaryota; Viridiplantae; Streptophyta; Magnoliopsida; Lamiales; Lamiaceae.
GCGGAUAUGGUCGAAUGGUAAAAUUUCUCUUUGCCAAGGAG